RNAcentral lists this ribosomal RNA (305 nucleotides) under uncultured bacterium. RNAcentral describes it as "bacterial SSU rRNA". It matches the Rfam family "Bacterial small subunit ribosomal RNA", at positions 339 to 642 of the family's 1533-position model. The record is from RNAcentral.
CUACGGGAGGCAGCAGUGAGGAAUAUUGGUCAAUGGGCGGGAGCCUGAACCAGCCAAGCCGCGUGAGGGAAGAAGGUACAGCGUAUCGUAAACCUCUUUUGUCAGGGAACAAAGGCGGGGACUAGUCCCCGGAUGAGGGUACCUGAAGAAAAAGCAUCGGCUAACUCCGUGCCAGCAGCCGCGGUAAUACGGAGGAUGCGAGCGUUAUCCGGAUUUAUUGGGUUUAAAGGGUGCGCAGGCGGCCUGUUAAGUCAGCGGUAAAAGCCCGGGGCUCAACCCCGGCGAGCCGUUGAAACUGGCGGGCU